RNAcentral lists this ribosomal RNA (78 nucleotides) under Hematodinium sp. RNAcentral's name for it is "partial ribosomal RNA". The record is from RNAcentral. Lineage: Eukaryota; Dinophyceae; Syndiniales; Syndiniaceae.
CUCUUUGUCUGGAGGUUACGUCCAUACAGAUGACAACAAGUAAAAGGAAUGUUGGUAGUUAUAUGAUCAGCGAUUGCA